GUGGGGAAUAUUGGACAAUGGGCGAAAGCCUGAUCCAGUCAUGCCGCGUGUGUGAAGAAGGUCUUCGGAUUGUAAAGCACUUUAAGUUGGGAGGAAGGGCAGUAAGUUAAUACCUUGCUGUUUUGACGUUACCAACAGAAUAAGCACCGGCUAACUUCGUGCCAGCAGCCGCGGUAAUACGAAGGGUGCAAGCGUUAAUCGGAAUUACUGGGCGUAAAGCGCGCGUAGGUGGUUCAGCAAGUUGAAGGUGAAAUCCCCGGGCUCAACCUGGGAACUGCCUCCAAAACUACUGAGCUAGAGUACGGUAGAGGGUAGUGGAAUUUCCUGUGUAGCGGUGAAAUGCGUAGAUAUAGGAAGGAACACCAGUGGCGAAGGCGACUACCUGGACUGAUACUGACACUGAGGUGCGAAAGCGUGGGGAGCAAACAGGAUUAGAAACCCCUGUAGUCC
Molecule: ribosomal RNA, 450 nt
Filed under: uncultured bacterium
Lineage: Bacteria
Description: partial 16S ribosomal RNA
Rfam family: Bacterial small subunit ribosomal RNA
Source: RNAcentral